ACUAACGGGUUAAUAUCUUAAAUAUCUAAGGCUACCCCACCAAAACCACCCCCCAAACCACCCAACACCCCUUUAUCUACCUCACUCACGGCUGAAUUCAGCCAACACACUCCAAUCAUCUUUGCUCUCUCACACACACAACACCCAAAACACCUACUUAUCACGCCAAACACCAUUUUUAGCUUGGACGGAGGUUUCAAGCUCCGAUUUGAGCACCGAGACGAGCACCGAUCAUCUUUUCGAUCACGUAUCUAAGUAGGUCCUUUUGGGAAGUAACGACUUGAGGGAGAGAGUGACGUUACUCAUUGAUACAGAGACACAACGAGGUUGAGCUGAUGUGAUGAUGGUGCUGCAAUGAGCGGAGUCUCCAGGGUUGUUAAUAAAUAGUUAACCUGUCUAGAAUAUGUCUUCAUACAUAUGUCUAGCUACUUUCCGCUGCAAGAUGUUGUUGAUGUUAUAGUAUGUUAUGUCAUACUUUGAGUCUUAAGAGAAUGGUUUCAUAUGAUGUAUAACUUGAUUAAUGAUAUUAAUUAAGUUUUAUGUUGUCUUUCA
Molecule: long non-coding RNA, 552 nt
Organism: Salvia miltiorrhiza (redroot sage)
Lineage: Eukaryota; Viridiplantae; Streptophyta; Magnoliopsida; Lamiales; Lamiaceae
Exons: 3
Source: RefSeq, a predicted model, not a curated record